Molecule: antisense RNA, 75 nt
Filed under: Streptomyces monashensis
Lineage: Bacteria; Bacillati; Actinomycetota; Actinomycetes; Kitasatosporales; Streptomycetaceae
Description: Streptomyces sp. MUSC 1 ASpks TB sRNA
Rfam family: ASpks TB sRNA
Source: Rfam by way of RNAcentral
CUUGACCGAGCCCAGCCAUACCGGGUCGGCGGGAUCGCGGUCCUGGCCGUAGGUGGCGAGGAGCGCGCCGGCCUC